CGUGUAGGCGGUUUGUUAAGUCUGAUGUGAAAGCCCCGGGCUCAACCUGGGAAGUGCAUUGGAAACUGGCAGACUUGAAUACGGGAGAGGGCAGUGGAAUUCCUGGUGUAGGAGUGAAAUCCGUAGAUAUCAGGAGGAACACCGGUGGCGAAGGCGGCUGCCUGGACCGAUAUUGACGCUGAGACGCGAAAGCGUGGGUAGCAAACAGGAUUAGAUACCCUGGUAGUCCACGCCGUAAACGAUGAGUACUAGGUGUUGCGGGUAUUGACCCCUGCAGUGCCGCAGCUAACGCAUUAAGUACUCCGCCUGGGAAGUACGGUCGCAAGACUAAA
Molecule: ribosomal RNA, 332 nt
Filed under: uncultured bacterium
Lineage: Bacteria
Description: bacterial SSU rRNA
Rfam family: Bacterial small subunit ribosomal RNA
Source: RNAcentral